CUUGUUCUCGGCGACUUCAACCUUAUCUACGAGGCCCGUGAUAAGAGCAACUCAAACCUUAAUCACAGCAUGAUGGCUAAGUUCCGGGCCGCUCUAAACGCCGGCGAACUGCGCGAAAUCUCCUUGCAUGGCCGCCGUUUCACCUGGUCCAAUGAGCAGGACGACCCUACUCUCUGCCGCCUCGACCGUGCUUUCUGCGACGUGGACUGAGAUCUACUGCAUCGUUCGGCUCGUCUCGCGCCCCUUGCCACCGACAGGUCUGAUCAUUGCCCGCUUGUGCUCACAUGCGAGUCCCGGUCGGGUAAGUUCGGUUUUCGCUUUGAGGCAUUUUGGGUCCAUCUUCACGGAUUCUCCGAUGUCGUGUCCACCUCCUAGAACGAGCCUUGCCCGCCGCUGGAUGCGAACAAAAACUCGGUUGGCGAUACCAGACUACAGCUGCUCAUGGCCCAAGACACGGUCCGGCUGUUGGAUGAGGCCCAGGAGUCGCGUCGACUUGAGCAGGACGAGCUUGAGCUCAGAAAAUCCCUCAAAGCCAGGAUCCUUGGGCUUGCUGUCAUUGAACGGAUCAAGGCUAAGCAGCGAUCGUGUGUGCGCUACCUCCGCUCCGGCGACGCCAACACCAAGUUUUUUCAUCUUAAGGCUAAUGGCCACCGCCGUAAGAACUUCAUUGCCUCCCUCCGAACUGCCAGUUUGAUCGCCAUGACCCAGGAGCACAAAACGGCGGUGGCAAAGGAGUUCUUCGAUGGUCUCAUCGGGCAGUCGGCCAAUUCUCAGCUCGGCCUUGACUGGGACAGCCUUGGCCUGCCAUCUGAAGACUUGAGGGACCUCGAAGCGCCGUUUUCUUUGGAGGAAAUCCGGCAAGGCAUUAGCGAUCUGCCGGCCGACCGCGCUCCUGGCCCAGAUGGUUUCACUGGGGGGGGUUUCAAAGUUGCCGCCCCAAUCAUAAUGCCAGACCUGCUGCUCGCUUUUCGCCAGGUGUACCUGAUGAACCGCUCCAGUUUGCACAAGCUCAAUGGCGCGCACAUUGUUCUUCUCCCCAAAAAAGCCGACGCGGCCGCCAUGGGUGACUACCGGCCUAUCAGCCUUCUGCAUAGCAUUGCCAAGCUCAUUAUGAAGGUC
RNAcentral lists this ribosomal RNA (1119 nucleotides) under Triticum aestivum (bread wheat). RNAcentral's name for it is "partial small subunit ribosomal RNA". The record is from RNAcentral. Lineage: Eukaryota; Viridiplantae; Streptophyta; Magnoliopsida; Poales; Poaceae.